UACGGAGGGUGCAAGCGUUAAUCGGAAUUACUGGGCGUAAAGAGUACGUAGGCGGUUUGGUAAGUCAACUGUGAAAGCCCCGGGCUUAACCUGGGAACUGCAGCUGAUACUGCCAGACUAGAGUUUGUGAGAGGGUAGUGGAAUUCCUAGUGUAGCGGUGAAAUGCGUAGAUAUUAGGAGGAACAUCAGUGGCGAAGGCGACUACCUGGCACAAAACUGACGCUGAGGUACGAAAGCGUGGGGAGCAAACAGG
Molecule: ribosomal RNA, 253 nt
Filed under: uncultured bacterium
Lineage: Bacteria
Description: partial 16S ribosomal RNA
Rfam family: Bacterial small subunit ribosomal RNA
Source: RNAcentral